AUUGAACGCUGGCGGCAGGCCUAACACAUGCAAGUCGAGCGGAAGAAGGGAGCUUGCUCCUGGAUUCAGCGGCGGACGGGUGAGUAAUGCCUAGGAAUCAGCCUGGUAGUGGGGGAUAACGUCCGGAAACGGGCGCUAAUACCGCAUACGUCCUGAGGGAGAAAGUGGGGGAUCUUCGGACCUCACGCUAUCAGAUGAGCCUAGGUCGGAUUAGCUAGUUGGUGGGGUAAAGGCCUACCAAGGCGACGAUCCGUAACUGGUCUGAGAGGAUGAUCAGUCACACUGGAACUGAGACACGGUCCAGACUCCUACGGGAGGCAGCAGUGGGGAAUAUUGGACAAUGGGCGAAAGCCUGAUCCAGCCAUGCCGCGUGUGUGAAGAAGGUCUUCGGAUUGUAAAGCACUUUAAGUUGGGAGGAAGGGCAGUAAGUUAAUACCUUGCUGUUUUGACGGUACCAACAGAAUAAGCACCGGCUAACUUCGUG
Molecule: ribosomal RNA, 484 nt
Filed under: uncultured bacterium
Lineage: Bacteria
Description: partial 16S ribosomal RNA
Rfam family: Bacterial small subunit ribosomal RNA
Source: RNAcentral